AUUGAACGCUGGCGGCAGGCCUAACACAUGCAAGUCGAACGAGUGGCGGACGGGUGAGUAAUGUCUGGGAAACUGCCUGAUGGAGGGGGAUAACUACUGGAAACGGUAGCUAAUACCGCAUACCAUCAGAUGUGCCCAGAUGGGAUUAGCUUGUUGGUGGGGUAAAGGCGAACAAGGGCGACGAUCCCUAGCGGGUCUGAGAGGAUGACCAGCCACACUGGAACGGAGACACGGUCCAGACUCCUACGGGAGGCAGCAGUGGGGAAUAUUGGACAAUGGGCGAAAGCCUGAUGCAGCCAGGCCGCGUGUAUGAAGAAGGCCUUCGGGUUGUAAAGUACUUUCAGCGGGGAGGCGUUACCCGCAGAAUAAGCACCGGCUAACUCCGUGCCAGCAGCCGCGGUAAUAC
Molecule: ribosomal RNA, 406 nt
Filed under: uncultured bacterium
Lineage: Bacteria
Description: partial 16S ribosomal RNA
Rfam family: Bacterial small subunit ribosomal RNA
Source: RNAcentral